This is a non-coding RNA of Triticum aestivum (bread wheat), 122 nucleotides long. The record is from Rfam. Lineage: Eukaryota; Viridiplantae; Streptophyta; Magnoliopsida; Poales; Poaceae.
UGAUUACUCCCUCCAUCUGAAAAAGCUUGUCAAAUGGAUGUAUCUAGCAUCAAGUUAGUGCUAGAUACAUCCAUUUGAGCAACAAGCUUGGGACAAGUUUUUUCGGACGAAGGGAGUACUUG